RNA transcript from Abrus precatorius (Indian licorice), 3138 nucleotides. RefSeq lists it as uncharacterized. The transcript has 12 exons. NCBI's taxonomy places the organism in Eukaryota, Viridiplantae, Streptophyta, Magnoliopsida, Fabales, Fabaceae. The record is from RefSeq and is a predicted model, not a curated record.
UUUUAAUAAAUUGGAUAAGAGUUUGAGUUUGAGAGUUUUGUUUGUAUUCAGUAAUUUUGGGAACCAUACAAUAUAGGAAACGAAUUUAUCAACAGAAAAUAAAUGGAGAGAGGACAAAGGGAAGAAGGGGACGAUUAGCAAUAGCAGUGUAUAUGGUUAUUGUUGUUGUUGUUGCUGUUUCAAGUGAAGGUGAAUUAUGCGGUGAGCGUUGUAGACAGCAUUGUUGUUGUUGAUCAGAAUCGAAUCCAGAUGUCAUAUUGUUGGCACAGUUUGGCGAGCAAAGCUCUUGUUCCAAUUUCACAAUCCCAACCCUUCUUACCACUGUUUCCCUCUUCACAAUUACAAUUACACUCUAAUAAUGGUAUCGGUAACAACAGGUUUUCUUCUGCUUCGUGUUCACGGCUUCAGGAAAUGUCCGUCGUCGAUCCAUCCUCACUGCAUCAGCAUCAACAGUGCACGAGCAACUACUAUCCUGUUGUCAGGGAUGAUCAGCAAGAUCAUGAACAUGAUCAUGAUGAUGAUGAAGAAGAAGUAGGAAUUUCUAAAAUACAAGUGCCCAGGCAGAAACACAUCCCUGUUUCCAAGUCCCAACUUCUGGACGCCAUCCUCUCCAUCAUUUUUCACCAACGCCAUGACGAUGCGCAUCACUUUCGCCUUCUCACCUCAUGCUUAGACUCUAUACUUCAUGCUGAGCACAAAAGUAUCUUAGAGGAGAUGCGUUCCGAUUAUCACCUUUCCAAUUCACAAGUCCUGCCGAAUGGAAAGGAUUCAGACUUGUUUAGCAAUGGCAUCCUUGGAAUUGAGGACGGCAAGCUCUAUGAGGAAAUGCAUCAAGAUCAACUGGAAAAGCCUAUGCUUUCCUACCGUGGUCUGGACCUCGCCUCCCUUUUACAAUCUCUGGACAUAGCUUCAAAGAAAGGUUAUGAUAGGGGGUCCAGAGUUACCAUUGCCACUCGUUUCCAACAUGCUUUCAUGCAGCUUCUUUCUGAUGCACAAUUUGAAGAACUUUCAGCUAGGGAUCUGAUGUUAACAUCUGCAUUGAACACAGACUAUCUACUUACCUUGCCGGUAUAUGUUGAUUGGAAGAGAGCAUAUGAGUCUAAUGCCAUAAUAUUUAGGCGUGGUUAUGCAACUGAGAAGCAGAAGGGCCUAUUAAUUGUUGAAAAAUUGGAUUACUUACAGUCUAAGCUUCUGCGAAGAAUCUUUUUUGUUAUAUCAAAACCACUAACAAAACUUGGCACCUGGAUAAGUGAGCUUUACAAAAAUGGCAGUCAGAAACAUGAAGUACAAAACUGGACAGAAAGAUUGAGGCUCUGGCUAAAGGAACUGUCAGUAUUUCAGAAAUCACUACUUUAUAAAGACCCUGCUUCAAAUGAGCAAAUAGGUGUAAACCAAGUAGCAAAUGCAGAACUCCCUAUUUGGUUGGCAGCUCAGAGGGCAGUAGCUCGAUAUGAAGGGAUUUUGUCAGCAGUUGGUCCCCGUGGAAGGCUCUUGAGGAGAUUGCUUUCCUGGAUAGGACUUAUUCCCCCUACACCAGAAACACCUUUUGAGGUUCAUAAUGAUAAUAGUGCUCCUGAACCUUACCUAAGGCCUACUUUUUUAUCAAGGAUAUCACUAAGUGAUAUAUGGAGACCAGCAACAAGGAAAUACUGCAGAAAUGAUCCCUGGAAAAUGUUGAAAACUUCCAUUUCCAUACUUUUCUCACAGUCAGUCCUGCAGGAGCCAGCAUUUGAAGAGUUAAUUCUACUAUAUACCAAGGAGGUUGGAGAUACAAAUGCUAAAGAUAAAGCUGAUGUUCCAUCAUUGCAAUUAAAGAUCUAUGAGAGAAUUCCUAUCCCAGAUUUACCGGUAAUUUUUCCUCAUAAAAAGCUAUCAUUCCGUAUCAUAGACACAGUGCGCUUGGAUGUUGCCACAAUUUUGGGUCUUCUGGCAUACUUCAUAAACUACAAAUUUGAGAAUGUCUUAUCUUCCCCAGAUUAUUAUGCUGGAAGAAUAUGGAAGCAUAGUUCUUUCUUCCACAAUCUGUGAAAGGAAAAUGUCUGAACUGCCAAGAAUGUUAUAUUGCAGCUAUUAGUCAACAAGACACUUUAUGAAAAAACAUUGGCAAGCGGCUUUGGCUCAGUUCAUUUUCUUCUAGAUGCUUCUGAACAGCAGCAAGUGAGAAAAUUCCUUUGUUAUGCUUUCCAUGCACUCUGGAUAACUUUACUCACAUUUUGUGGGAUAAACAACCAAUACUUCUGAAUUUGUCAUUCAAUUAGGUGGUGCUCAAUUUUUUUGGUUUUCAUAAAAUUAUUCAAUGGUUUUCAAUUAUUUUGUUUGAUGAGUUAGAGGUGUAAUCUAUUUCCAAACUAUUGAAUCAUGCAAAUGUUUCUUGUCAAUUUUGGUCUGGAAAAUAUUUUGGAAUCAUGUAAUCUAACUGGUUAGAUGAUGAAUUUGCUAAACUGAAGAUCAGAUCAUGAACCAGUUUUGGGUGAUUUACGUUAUGAAAUCUGAUGCCCGAGUAGUGGCCACAGUCAUAGUGGUAGAUAAGCUUAUACUCCAUACAUCUUUCGUAAAAGAGGGGACGGCUCUGCAAAAAUAGGGUUUCUUCUUUACAACCUCAUUAUUAUGUAUUCUGACCUUCAUUAACUUCUGUCUCCCUAAACGUUGCAUAUGCAGUACAAAGAAGCUAUUUUGGCUUAUGCUGUCCUACUCAAAGCAGAAAAGGGUCAGGUUAUUUCUCGACAAAGUGUCGGAGAGAAAUGUGAGAGAUUCAUGUAUGAAGUGUUUAAAGUAAAGGUUGAAAUGCCAAUUGACAAGGCACUCAAAACAUUAUUAAGACUGGGCCUUGCAACUGAAACUUGUAUUGAUGGAAGGCAUGGAUUGCUGGCUAUACCUUGUCGCGAGGCCUAUGAGGCCCUUAAAGAACGAUGGAAUAGUUUGCUCAUUUAAAAUGUGCAAUAUGCACUUUCCAUUGAGUUACCGAUAAAUACAUUGUAGAUAGUAAGUUUAUCAACCCUUCAUGGCAUCCGGUAAUAGUUUUGUAGAUAGAUGAGACUAGGCAAUUGCAUUAUUCAUGCUACCCUGUAAUUUUACAAAACAGUAUAUAUUUUUCGUCACCAGUUCCAUAAAUGAGCACAAAGCUUUUAUUGCAGCAGC